CUCUAGUCCCCUCUCACAUGGGAGUGGGGCAGCUGGCCUACCACAGUGUGGUUUGCUCUUCCUCAUCCUUACCCAGGGAGAGAAUUUGCAUCCCUGUUGGUAUCUCUGACAUGACAUUAAAAACACAGCAGGAGGUACCAUAAAAAUUCCUAUGGAAACAUAAAACACAAAGGUGCUUUACAAAGGAAUAAGUUACAAACUAACAGUGACUGUAGGGAAAAGUGGCAGCUCACACACAGCCUUGGAAAAUAGAACCUGUUUUACUGAGAAGGGGA
This is a long non-coding RNA of Mauremys reevesii (Reeves's turtle), 275 nucleotides long. RefSeq lists it as uncharacterized. NCBI's taxonomy places the organism in Eukaryota, Metazoa, Chordata, Testudines, Geoemydidae. The record is from RefSeq and is a predicted model, not a curated record. The transcript is spliced from 3 exons.